UGGGGAAUAUUGCGCAAUGGGCGAAAGCCUGACGCAGCGACGCCGCGUGAGGGAUGAAGGUCUUCGGAUCGUAAACCUCUGUCAGAAGGGAAGAAUAAGCAUCGUGCUAAUCAGCGAUGCCCUGACGGUACCUUCAAAGGAAGCACCGGCUAACUCCGUGCCAGCAGCCGCGGUAAUACGGAGGGUGCAAGCGUUAAUCGGAAUUACUGGGCGUAAAGCGCAUGUAGGCUGUAUGGCAAGUUGGAGGUGAAAUCCCACGGCUCAACCGUGGAACUGCCUUCAAAACUACCAAACUGGAGUGCGAGAGAGGAUAGCGGAAUUCCAGGUGUAGGAGUGAAAUCCGUAGAUAUCUGGAAGACAUCAGUGGCGAAGGCGGCUAUCUGGCUCGUAACUGACGCUGAGAUGCGAAAGCGU
Molecule: ribosomal RNA, 414 nt
Filed under: uncultured Desulfovibrio sp.
Lineage: Bacteria; Pseudomonadati; Thermodesulfobacteriota; Desulfovibrionia; Desulfovibrionales; Desulfovibrionaceae
Description: bacterial SSU rRNA
Rfam family: Bacterial small subunit ribosomal RNA
Source: RNAcentral